This 208-nucleotide ribosomal RNA is filed under the name uncultured eukaryote. RNAcentral's name for it is "partial Bacterial small subunit ribosomal RNA". It matches the Rfam family "Bacterial small subunit ribosomal RNA", at positions 537 to 744 of the family's 1533-position model. The record is from RNAcentral.
AGCGUUGUCCGGAAUUAUUGGGCGUAAAGAGCUUGUAGGUGGCUUGUCGCGUCUGCCGUGAAAACCCGAGGCUCAACCUCGGGCGUGCGGUGGGUACGGGCAGGCUAGAGUGUGGUAGGGGAGACUGGAACUCCUGGUGUAGCGGUGAAAUGCGCAGAUAUCAGGAAGAACACCGAUGGCGAAGGCAGGUCUCUGGGCCAUUACUGAC